This is a long non-coding RNA of Sphaeramia orbicularis (orbiculate cardinalfish), 164 nucleotides long. RefSeq lists it as uncharacterized. The transcript is spliced from 3 exons. The record is from RefSeq and is a predicted model, not a curated record. Lineage: Eukaryota; Metazoa; Chordata; Actinopteri; Kurtiformes; Apogonidae.
CUUUCCGUUGCAGUUUUGUGCAAUAGACAAAUUUCACUACAACUGAAAAACCACCUCUUGCAAGAACAAAAAGUUUUCAUUGAAAAACAAGAGUUUUGGCAAAAUUGUAAUUUUUCCCUUUGGCAAAUUUUUAUACAUAAGCAAUUUUUAUACAUGUAAUUUUA